ACGGAGGAAGCCGAAAAUCCAGAAAAGAGUAGGCG
Molecule: non-coding RNA, 35 nt
Submitted as: unclassified sequences
Source: Rfam